Molecule: transfer RNA, 87 nt
Filed under: Bacteroidales bacterium
Lineage: Bacteria; Pseudomonadati; Bacteroidota; Bacteroidia; Bacteroidales
Description: tRNA-Ser
Rfam family: tRNA
About the family: Transfer RNA (tRNA) molecules are approximately 80 nucleotides in length.
Source: RNAcentral
GGAAAGAUGCCGGAGUGGUCGAUCGGGGCGGUCUCGAAAACCGUUGUACUCUUGCGGGUACCAAGGGUUCGAAUCCCUUUCUUUCCG